Molecule: long non-coding RNA, 512 nt
Filed under: Brassica napus (rape)
Lineage: Eukaryota; Viridiplantae; Streptophyta; Magnoliopsida; Brassicales; Brassicaceae
Description: long non-coding RNA (BNAP_LNC024115)
Source: RNAcentral
GGGGCAGAUUAAUAGACGAUCUUGAUGGUUUUGCUAAUCAAGACGGUUUAUUUUUUGUACAGAAUUUUGAUCAGAGCAUUCACAAAUGUCUGAAUCAUGCGUUAGAGUGCUUAUUUGGACUUUGGAAGUAGGAGUAUCGGGGAUAUCAGAAUUAUCUGCAUGCUAUUUUCUCAUAUUUCAACUUUACUUAAUUGACUUUGGAGAGCAUAAUGAAUUCUAAGUUUGAAUCUUGGUAAGUUUUGACACUUAAAUUGGAAAUUUGGAAAUGUUUGAACAUGGGACUUUUGUUUUUCAUUUUAGAAGAAGAUUCUAUUGGAAUAGGGCUUUGAUUUUGAAUUGAUUUCUCAAUCCUAUCAAGUUGUUUGCUUAUUGUACCAAGAUUAGUGUUGAAAACUUGUUUUGGACAAUGAUAUUUUUGACAUUAGCUUUAUCAUCUUCUUGGGGUCAUUUAAAAGGAAUUGCUUCAAUUGGUGUUCCUAACCAUUCUAGUUUUAUCCCUUGGGGAGGAGGAU